GAUGAACGCUGGCGGCGUGCCUAAUACAUGCAAGUCGAGCGAACAGACGAGGAGCUUGCUCCUCUGACGUUAGCGGCGGACGGGUGAGUAACACGUGGAUCACCUACCUAUAAGACUGGGAUAACUUCGGGAAACCGGAGCUAAUACCGUAUAAUAUAUUGAACCGCAUGGUUCAAUAGUGAAAGACGGUUUUGCUGUCACUUAUAGAUGGAUCCGCGCCGCAUUAGCUAGUUGGUAAGGUAACGGCUUACCAAGGCUACGAUGCGUAGCCGACCUGAGAGGCGGAUCGGCCACACUGGAACUGAGACACGGUCCAGACUCCUACGGGAGGCAGCAGUAGGGAAUCUUCCGCAAUGGGCGAAAGCCUGACGCAGCGACGCCGCGUGAGUGAUGAAGGUCUUCGGAUCGUAAAGCUCUGUUAUUGGGGAAGAACAACUGUGUAAGUAACUAUGGCCGUCUUGACGGUACCUAAUCAGAAAGCAACGGCUAACUACGUG
Molecule: ribosomal RNA, 497 nt
Filed under: uncultured bacterium
Lineage: Bacteria
Description: partial 16S ribosomal RNA
Rfam family: Bacterial small subunit ribosomal RNA
Source: RNAcentral